RNAcentral lists this ribosomal RNA (465 nucleotides) under uncultured Klebsiella sp. Its description in RNAcentral is "bacterial SSU rRNA". It matches the Rfam family "Bacterial small subunit ribosomal RNA", at positions 338 to 795 of the family's 1533-position model. Lineage: Bacteria; Pseudomonadati; Pseudomonadota; Gammaproteobacteria; Enterobacterales; Enterobacteriaceae. The record is from RNAcentral.
CCUACGGGUGGCUGCAGUGGGGAAUAUUGCACAAUGGGCGCAAGCCUGAUGCAGCCAUGCCGCGUGUGUGAAGAAGGCCUUCGGGUUGUAAAGCACUUUCAGCGGGGAGGAAGGCGGUGAGGUUAAUAACCUCAUCGAUUGACGUUACCCGCAGAAGAAGCACCGGCUAACUCCGUGCCAGCAGCCGCGGUAAUACGGAGGGUGCAAGCGUUAAUCGGAAUUACUGGGCGUAAAGCGCACGCAGGCGGUCUGUCAAGUCGGAUGUGAAAUCCCCGGGCUCAACCUGGGAACUGCAUUCGAAACUGGCAGGCGAGCGUCUUGUAGAGGGGGGUAGAAUUCCAGGUGUAGCGGUGAAAUGCGUAGAGAUCUGGAGGAAUACCGGUGGCGAAGGCGGCCCCCUGGACAAAGACUGACGCUCAGGUGCGAAAGCGUGGGGAGCAAACAGGAUUAGAUACCCGAGUAGUC